This 450-nucleotide ribosomal RNA is filed under the name uncultured bacterium. Its description in RNAcentral is "bacterial SSU rRNA". It matches the Rfam family "Bacterial small subunit ribosomal RNA", at positions 28 to 473 of the family's 1533-position model. The record is from RNAcentral.
GAUGAACGCUGGCGGCGUGCCUAAUACAUGCAAGUCGAACGCACAGCGAAAGGUGCUUGCACCUUUCAAGUGAGUGGCGAACGGGUGAGUAACACGUGGAUAACCUACCUCAAGGUUGGGGAUAACAUUUGGAAACAGAUGCUAAUACCGAAUAAAACUUCGUAUCGCAUGAUACAAGGUUAAAAGGCGCUACGGCGUCACCUAGAGAUGGAUCCGCGGUGCAUUAGUUAGUUGGUGGGUAAAGGCUACCAAGACAAUGAUGCAUAGCCGAGUUGAGAGACUGAUCGGCCACAUUGGGACUGAGACACGGCCCAAACUCCUACGGGAGGCUGCAGUAGGGAAUCGUUCCACAAUGGGCGAAAGCCUGAUGGAGCAAACGCCGCGUGUGUGAUGAAGGCUUUCGGGUCGUAAAGCACUGUGUAUGGGAAGAACAGCUAGAGUAGGAAUGAC